AGCGAACGCUGGCGGCAGGCCUAACACAUGCAAGUCGAGCGCCCCGCAAGGGGAGCGGCAGACGGGAGAGUAACACGUGGGAACGUACCUUUCAGUUCGGAACAACCCAGGGAAACUUGGGCUAAUACCGAAUACGCCCGUAAGGGGAAAGAUUUAUCGCUGAAAGAUCGGCCCGCGUCUGAUUAGCUAGUUGGUGAGGUAACGGCUCACCAAGGCGACGAUCAGUAGCUGGUCUGAGAGGAUGAUCAGCCUCAUUGGGACUGAGACACGGCCCAAACUCCUACGGGAGGCAGCAGUGGGGAAUAUUGGACAAUGGGCGCAAGCCUGAUCCAGCCAUGCCGCGUGGGUGAUGAAGGCCCUAGGGUUGUAAAGCCCUUUCGGCGGGAAGAUAAUGACGGUACCCGCAGAAGAAGCCCCGGCUAACUUCGUGCCA
Molecule: ribosomal RNA, 433 nt
Filed under: uncultured bacterium
Lineage: Bacteria
Description: bacterial SSU rRNA
Rfam family: Bacterial small subunit ribosomal RNA
Source: RNAcentral